CGGGGUGCAGCAGGCGCGAAAACUUUACAAUGCUGGCAACAGCGAUAAGGGGACCUUGAGUGCCAGGAUACAAUCCUGGCUGUCGUGAUGCCUAAAAAGCAUUAUAUAGCAAGGGCCGGGCAAGACCGGUGCCAGCCGCCGCGGUAACACCGGCGGCUCGAGUGGUAACCGCUAUUAUUGGGUCUAAAGGGUCUGUAGCCGGCUUGGUUAGUCUCUUGGGAAAUCCGGCAGCUUAACUGUCGGGCUUUCAGGAGAUACUGCCAGGCUCGAGACCGGGAGAGGUGAGAGGUACUUCAUGGGUAGGGGUGAAAUCUUGUAAUCCUUGAAGGACCACCAGUGGCGAAGGCGUCUCACCAGAACGGAUCUGACGGCAAGGGACGAAAGCUAGGGGCACGAACCGGAUUAGAUACCCGGGUAGUCCUAGCCGUAAACGAUACUCGCUAGGUGUCGGCCACGGUGCGACCGUGGUCGGUGCCGUAGGGAAGCCGUGAAGCGAGCCACCUGGGAAGUACGGCCGCAAGGCUGAAACUUAAAGGAAUUGGCGGGGGAGCACAAGGGCGAAUCGCG
Molecule: ribosomal RNA, 567 nt
Filed under: uncultured archaeon
Lineage: Archaea
Description: bacterial SSU rRNA
Rfam family: Archaeal small subunit ribosomal RNA
Source: RNAcentral